This 30-nucleotide non-coding RNA is filed under the name Homo sapiens (human). Lineage: Eukaryota; Metazoa; Chordata; Mammalia; Primates; Hominidae. The record is from RNAcentral.
UGCACAGGUUAAAACAAGACGCCCAUUAAA